This 72-nucleotide transfer RNA is filed under the name Camelus bactrianus (Bactrian camel). It matches the Rfam family "tRNA". Rfam says of the family: Transfer RNA (tRNA) molecules are approximately 80 nucleotides in length. RNAcentral also lists the same sequence under 1 other name. Lineage: Eukaryota; Metazoa; Chordata; Mammalia; Artiodactyla; Camelidae. The record is from Rfam by way of RNAcentral.
AGUGAUAUAGCUCAGUGGUAGAGUGUGUGCUUAGCACGCACGAGGUCCUGGAUUCAAUCGCCAGUACCUCCA